Molecule: RNA transcript, 3354 nt
Organism: Puntigrus tetrazona (Sumatra barb)
Lineage: Eukaryota; Metazoa; Chordata; Actinopteri; Cypriniformes; Cyprinidae
Gene: trim13
Gene name: tripartite motif containing 13
Exons: 4
Source: RefSeq, a predicted model, not a curated record
GCUGCCUGUUCUCAUGAUUAGAUUUCGAGACUGUCACGUAUAUUUGUACAUUAUUUUAUGACGGGUACAAAUGUGAGACAAGGUGAUUAAAGUUCAAACGAGCUUAAGCAGAAAAUCACCGGUCAAACACACACCACAGCGUUGAAUUACACUGUUGUGAAUUUGUAUGUUUUUGAACGUAGGCGUCCCCCUUGUGAGUUUCCGUUUGUGUUAUUAUCGAGUUAACUAAAUAAAAACAAUCAUAAGAGGCGCUUAUCCCGUUUCUACGACGAACCGGUUCGCCGAGCCCUCUCGCGGCCAAUUACGUCACUGCACGCGCUUUCAUCCCUGCCUCGACCAAUCAGCGCGGCGCCUCGGAAGCCCUUCUCUUCCUGAUGGCAUGGAAACAGGGGAAGAAAAAUCGAGGUCAAAAUAUUUUGACACGUGACUCGGUAGCGAUUGGUUAUCGAUGCGUCAAGACCCCGACACAUGGCACGGACAUAUGCGACCGAAAGUGGCGCGAUGAAGGAUCGUCUUUAUGGCAGAAAACCCGACGUGUUUUUUUGGUCGCCCGCGUCUGUGACACAUGAGUUGGAUGCAAACGAAAAUCACUCGGUUACUGUAGCUCGGUGAAUAGGUGAAUUAGGCGUUUAUGGGGGUAGAUGAUGGGUAACGCCAGUAUUGACGUAAUCUGUAGAGAAACGCUGAUCUAGGAGAGAGCGAGCGCUCCCCCGCAACAACCCCGUCCAAGAAGGAAGGGAUCCUCUGCAUUUCUUUCUCACCGACAAAAACGUGCAUCCAAGCGCUCGAGUCUGCAAAUACACUUCGCUACGCGGAUAUUACGCCGCACGCGCCAUUGAAACGUUUGCCUUUAGAUGAAGCAUUCAUUAGCCGUCUGUUCGCCUUCUUUUUAGUCGCCUGGCCGUACUGACUUGACCUGAACUAGUUAAAAUUUCCCAAUUGGAAAGGGCGAAGUCUGCACAGCAACAAGAGCCGCGAUUGCGUUGCACACCGCCUAAGCAUCCAGCGCGCUUCUGGUCCAAUUGCUGAUGUUUUCCGCCUGCAAAAUCUGCCACAACCGUAGUAAUACCUUGACAACCGGACCCGGGCGAACCGAGAAACACUUUUGACAACUCGACAGCGGGGAAUCUUUUUUUCUAAAUCAAUGCCUUGAAGUUUGUCGGACGGGUCCUCGGAUAUUCCCGCACGAAAGUUCUCACGCUGCAAUUAAAAAUGAAGCACUGGUGCACUCAGGAGUCUCCAUCAUCAGGCAAUCUGACCUACUAUGUUUAGUUAACCUGUCGUGCUUCUUCCACAGAGUCGCUUGCCGUGCGUUGAAAAAUAUCGUCUGAUCGAUGCAGAUGAUGUUGAUUUUUAAAACAAAACAAAAUUUUAUCACUCUCAGCCCUUUUGGUUCUAUUAGCCCAUGAAUUCACUGUAGACUUGUGGCGCAGUCUUGCAAAUGCAAACCGAUAUUUGGUUUAUUGCGCGUAAUGUCGAUGGUUUCCAAAACGACACCGGACAGCACUGAGUGCUCUAGAGAUUCACGAGAAAGAGGCUUGCCAAGAUGAUGAAAAUUGCAUUCAUGUGUCAUGCCCCCGACAAGCUUUCAUAUUGAUGUCUUUUCCCACUUUAGGAUACGAUGGAGCUCUUGGAGGAGGACCUCACAUGCCCAAUAUGCUGCUGUCUUUUCGAGGACCCGCGCGUUCUGCCGUGCUCUCACAGCUUCUGCAAGAAGUGUCUGGAGGGCAUCCUGGACGGUAACCGGAGCCCUGCUUGGAGACCGCCGUUCAAAUGCCCGACCUGUCGAAAGGAGACCGUGCACAACGGCAUCGCGAGCUUGCAAGUCAAUUACUCCCUGCGUGGCAUCGUGGAGAAGUACAACAGGAUCCGAGUGAUGCCGAGGAUGUCUCUCUGCCGAGUUCACAGCGGGCAGCCUCUCAACAUCUUCUGCGCCACCGACCUGAAGCUCAUCUGCGGCUUUUGCGCCACGACGGGCGACCAUAAAGGACACAAGUUCUGCGCGCUGGAGGAGGCGUACGAACGCGAGAAGCUCGCGUUUGAGGAGUUGUUCCGCGUCGUGGAGAGCUGGAAGGGCGCGGAGGUGCAUUCGUGCCUGGAAUCGUUAGAGGGAGCGAAGAGGAAAGCGCUGGAGAGGGUCUCGCGGGACGCGGAUCGGGUCUCAGAGUACUUCGACAAACUUUUGCGCACGCUGGGGCACAAACGCAGCGAGAUCCUCUCGGACUUGGAGACCCUGAAGCUCGCGGUCAUGCAGACCUUCGACCCCGAGAUCAACCAGCUCCGCUCGGCGCUCGAGGAGCAGCAGCGCGCGCUCAGCAUCGCCGAAUCCUUCCGCUCGCUUUCGGACCCGCUCGCUUUCCUCCAGCAGAUGCAGGACUUCAGGGAAAAGCUGCGCGUCAUUCGGGGAACGCCGCUGCCGACGCGGACGGACGUGGACGUGGGGCUGCUCGGCCUCCGGAGCUUCGACGUGAAGGAAUGGGACCGGGCGCGCCUGGGAGAGGUGGACAAGCUGUGCGCCCCCUACGAGAGCAGCACCUACCUGGCCUCGCUGCCCCCCGCUGCCGCUCCGCGCUACUCCCGCGUGCUCUGGAGAGUCGUUCUGGUCGUAUGCGCGUGUCUCCCGGCGCUGAACUUUCUCCCGUCGGACUGCCUCGCUCUGAGCUUCCAGGAUAAGGUGGUCGCACUCGGUGGCUUUUCUCUGCCCGGUCCUAGGGAGAUCGCGCGCUGGCUCGGGUUCUGCUGGAAAGAAGCGGAGGCGAUCUGCGCGCUACUGACCGAGCUGUGUCGGAACUGUAUCUUGGACCUGAUAAACACAACAUCAGAUUUCCUCAGCUGAUUUUGUAACUCCAUUCAUUAGUUUUGGAAACACCAGUGUUGGGAGUCAGCUGGGAAAAAAAAACAAAAAACUAAAGAAGAGGAACACGUUCCGAUUGUGCAUUGAUAUCGUUUAUCUGCUCCGUGCAAGUUAUCAGGAGACUCAAGGUUAAACGUUGCGUAACUGAAUGUCAGGCUCGCACCCGGCCACAGGGCUCGAGGCAUUCCAGGACUCCAUCUGAAACACAGAAGAGAGGACGCCAGAGCAGGAUUUUCUGAAGACACCUCAGCAACUUUCAAGCGCUACACCGAAAACUGUCCUCUGGCAACUCCAUCAGAAAUAAUAUUAAAAGAAAACUACCAUUUUCUAGACCAGACUGGAUUUAACCUCCAAGAUGGUGAUUCAGCACUGACAGCAUCCAGCCUCGUAGUCAUCUUCAGCAGCAGGAACAGACCUGCCACCAGCUUCCCAAAGUGCUGGCCCACAUCUGAACACAUCUCUUCACACACUACUUUAAUAAGAUACCUAUUCUUUCUGAA